GACGAACGCUGGCGGCGUGCUUAACACAUGCAAGUCGAACGGAAAGGCCCUGCUUUUGUGGUGUGCUCGAUUGGCGAACGGGUGAGUAACACGUGAGUAACCUGCCCUUGACUUUGGGAUAACUUCAGGAAACUGGGGCUAAUACCGGAUAGGAGCUCCUGCUGCAUGGUGGGGGUUGGAAAGUUUCGGCGGUUGGGGAUGGACUCGCGGCUUAUCAGCUUGUUGGUGGGGUAGUGGCUUACCAAGGCUUUGACGGGUAGCCGGCCUGAGAGGGUGACCGGCCACAUUGGGACUGAGAUACGGCCCAGACUACUACGGGAGGCAGCAGUGGGGAAUAUUGCACAAUGGGCGGAAGCCUGAUGCAGCAACGCCGCGUGAGGGAUGACGGCCUUCGGGUUGUAAACCGCUUUCGCCUGUGACGAAGCGUGAGUGACGGUAAUGGGUAAAGAAGCACCGGCUAACUACGUG
This 468-nucleotide ribosomal RNA is filed under the name uncultured bacterium. RNAcentral describes it as "partial 16S ribosomal RNA". It matches the Rfam family "Bacterial small subunit ribosomal RNA", at positions 28 to 507 of the family's 1533-position model. The record is from RNAcentral.